Molecule: long non-coding RNA, 512 nt
Filed under: Homo sapiens (human)
Lineage: Eukaryota; Metazoa; Chordata; Mammalia; Primates; Hominidae
Description: HSALNT0300348
Source: RNAcentral
UUCCUGGCUCAGCUUCUCCCACUCAUGCCUGGAGCCAUCUCACCCUCCACACACGCACCCUCAUCUCUGCCGCUCUCCCUCCGGAUCAGCUGAGAACGCUGAGUCAUCGAGUACCCCCCACCCCUCCGAGCCUGCAAUGUGUCAACAGCCAGCCCACCCGGGCUCAGCUCCCAGCCGCCUGAGUCAGCCCUGACUGAGCCUCUCCCCGGAUCCUGUCUCACCGGCCUUCCCCUCCAGCUCCAGGCCCUGCUCUUCAGGAUUCUCAUGAGGACAAAUUAGAGCACCUGUCACUAUAGCCAGCACUCAAGAAAUGGGAUUAUCAUCAGAGGGAAAAAUGCACAGCCUCACCAGCUAUUAAACAUAUGGAAAUGAUGACAAUUUAAAGCUUAUAAAUAACAUUAGCGGUGGCUUGGAUUUAUUGUUGUGGCCUCCGGAAGAACUUGGGCACAGUGUAACUUCCUGGGGCCCGAGGUUGUUAAUCGGUGAAUUGUUCAUGAAGGACAGUGCUCACU